This is a long non-coding RNA of Papaver somniferum (opium poppy), 3570 nucleotides long. RefSeq lists it as uncharacterized. The transcript has 2 exons. Lineage: Eukaryota; Viridiplantae; Streptophyta; Magnoliopsida; Ranunculales; Papaveraceae. The record is from RefSeq and is a predicted model, not a curated record.
UCCUAAACAUUUUAUAAAUUUUAUUAAUAUCUCAGCCUGCAAAAAUUUUAUCCAAAUUUUUUUUCAUAUCGAUCUAGGGAUUAUUGGUAUAGAUUUAAGGCAAAAAACGAAGCCUAUUACCAUUUCCUUCAUCUGCAGACACAAUAUAGAUAUCUAUCCAACGAGGUCUCUUCAUGGAGUAUUAAUCGUGAGCUUUAGAGAUUACAGAAUGAAAUAUCUUGGGCCAGGGUCAGUUGGGAAUCCAUUCAGGUACCAGCAUUCGAAGAACAAUUCAUGAAUAAAGUUAGGAAUACAGAAGCUAUGAAGAAUGAGGAAUAGGUGUUCAUUGAAGACUCGGUAGCUGAAUUCAGUCAAGAUCUUACUCCAAAUUCUCUUCCUGCUGCUAUUUCCGAUUCAGCUUUAGAUUUCGAUUCAAUUUCUGGAUCUAAAACUGAUUCAGCUAAGGGUUUACAUGGGUUUUUAAAAUCGAGUUCAAACAUUGAAUACUCCGCUAUUUCAAUUGGUGAUUUCACUGUCUCUCCAUCUGAGGAAAUCAAAUCAAUUUCUACUGGUGUUGUUGAAGAAGGUGAUUAUCUCGAUUUGGAGUCGAUUCCUUCACGUUUCUUCGUUGAAAACGAAGCUGCUGUUUCAACUGAGGCUGUGAGUUUUCAGUUUAAAGAAAUUGAUAAAUCUGUAGUGAAUAACUUUGAAAGGAAGGAUCAGAUCAAAUGGGGUAAGUGUUUUUCCAUUACUCUCGAUUCUUCUCGUAUCAUUUUUUUAUCCAUGAAAAGAUUUCAAACUCAUUAAGAGGUUUUCUUAUUUGGCUGGUGUUUAUGAGUUUGGUUUCGAUUCAAUUACUUCAUGUUCUUUUGCACUAUAUGUUGGCUCAAUUUUAAUGGAUGAAUUUGAUAGCAAUCCUGUGUAUAAGCUGAGUUCCAAGAAUAUGUACUGGGCAGAUUCAUGGUCUGGUGAUUCAAUUACUUGUAGACUAACUAAUGGGGGUGUUCUUAGUACUGCUGAAAUGUUGUUUGUUCAAAAUGUCAAAGAGAGACACAAUUUGGUUGGAUAGAAUGCUUGAGACCGCAUUGCGGAGCUGGAAUGAUGGUGUUUUUUGUUCCUAUCCUUCUUUUGUUUACACUGGUUCCGUAUUUGAUCAUGUCAGAGGGUAUUUUAAUUUUGCUGAUGCUUAUAGAAUUGGUUUUGAUACUCAUAGUUCUGGCUUGAUUGUUCUUAUUGGGUUGAUUUUCAUGGCUGAGUGCAAUAGAAAUUGUGUUUACAAGGUGAUUACAAGACAUGGGUAUCGAUUGAAAUGGUUGUUUCAAAAUUCUAUUGUCCUAGAGUUUGCUACAACUGGUGACAGUGGUGAUAGUGGUCAGUUGUUUUCGAAAAUGGCCACGAGGAAAUAGUAUAACACUGAAUAGUCAUUUGUCUGUGUGCAAGCUAAUGUGUGAGAUUAAGAAUUUUUAUCAAUUGUUUCAUCAAAUGCUUGAUAGGUGGGAAACGAAAAUAUUUCUUUUCCAGCUGAUGUAUGUUUUGCCUGAUAUGAUUUUGGGUGGCUGUUGGUUUUAUUUGACUUCUUGUAGAGGUUUCUAGGCCAGCAACCGCAUGGUCUCACCAAGUGAUUACACUUGUCAAUUCAUAUGUUACCUUGGUUAGACUCCAUGACUAAUCAAUAAGGAUUAUUCUCGUAAUUGUUAGGAGCUAUUUUCGACUUCUAAGGAUGGGCUUCCUCUUAUCGAGUACAAGGCUUACAUCUGCAGCUAUUAAAGAAGAAGAAAUGAAGAAAUCUCUCCAAUUUUCCACAGCUGGUCUUCGUUUCUUAUACUUUGUUCAACACAAACCUUCUGGCUGUCAACAUGGGUUGUGCGUGGGGUAUCUAAAAAUAAAAGUCUAUGGGAGUAUGAAGAUGAUAAAACUUGUACUCACUGUCACACAUGCUCCAAUUGUUUCAAGGUUAGUGAACUUCUUCAGCUGGAAGUGCAAAUUGUAUUCUACAAGUCUGGAGAGUGUUGCAUAUGUGAAUUAGAGCAGUUCAGUCAUCAUGUGUAUGACUAAAACUCGACCCAUACUUAGGGUAAUUCAAUUCCUACAGGUGCAGCUGUUGGUGGGAUAUUGGAGGUGGACAUUCAGAUUGGUUGCAACUGGAUUGUGGAGUAUAAGAUUUUCCUGUAUGGGUUUGUUUUUCUUCCCUUCACAUCUUCAUGGUGUCGUAUUAUCAACAGAUUAUUCAAACCGUUCCCAAUUGCUUAAAGUUGACAAUUCGGCAGCCAAAUUUGUUGGAAUUCAUGAUUAUACCUCUAUGUUGAUGCUUCCACUUUCAAAAGCAGUUGCUUCACGCCUCCAGUUCACCUGCUGCCUUUAUGGAUAUCCAUGAAUUCUCUCUUUUGCCACGAAUGGACUGUUUCCAAUUAGAAAUUUCUGGGUUCGUGCUGAGAAGAAUGAAGAAUUUUCCUAUGGUAGAUAUCAACAUAUCCUUCGCUAUCCAUUUUGCACUAAAUGGCAGUGUUGCAUUCAGGUCUGUGCUUGUUUUACUGAUUUUAUCAACUCUGGUAGUACAAGCAUCUGGGAAUGUUUUGUUGGUAUUUUGUCAUGCUAGACUGUUAUGUUUGGUCUAUUCACCAACAAGUAGCUAUCUUAAGCUUGAGUUCUGUGUGAGUAAGCAGUCAGUCCAACUCUUACACACUUGGAUGCACACUCUAGCUGUGUCCAAGUCAGUGGCUUGUGCAAGUACAGUUCUAUUAUUCGCAAGGGAAUGGACAUCUGCGGUGUUGGCUAGUUUUAAAUUUAAAAUUCUGGAGCAGUUGGUUGAUCACAAGAGAAAUGGCUACUACAAGCUCAAGCAACUUGCACCAAACUGUGAUAGACAGCUCAGUGGUAUACUUGUGUGCAUUCAUGGUCAGGCCUGUACAUAUAUGAUACCGAGUAUGGUUGUGUCUCAACAGAAAACGGAAGAUGAAGUUGAUCACUUGUACAUGGGGACUGUUCACUGCAACCAACUGAAGAUUCUAGGUGCUAGAAAAGAUGUUGCUGCUAAGAAGCAAGACAAAGGCGACUGAUAUGUUCGACAGGUCUACCAAUACAAUGGCUACUAUCCGUCAUAUGCUCUUACAAGAUUCUGUGACUCAUUACAAGGAUGAAUUUAGCAAGCAUGGUACCUUGAUUGUGGAGCUUAGUGUUGUCCUGCAACCACUCUAGCUGUUCUGUUUUCACCUUCAUCCUUGAGGACAAGGAUGGUUUCAAGGGGAAUGGAAUGUCAUGUGUACAGGGGUGCCCGUAUCGUAUGUAUGUGGGUAUUUAGUAGCAUCUAGUAGGGUGUAAUGGGUGGUUUAGAUUAACUCACGUGGAUAGUUUAUAAUCGUCAGAUAUUGAGAGAGGGAGAGAGUGUGUGUGUCUGAGUUAUAUACUCUCGUAUCCUUUAAUGAAACUCUUAUGAGAAGAUUUAUGAAUAGAAUAGCUUAGUUUAGCAUUUAGGCUUGGUUCACUAUGAAUCAAGAGUUCACUUACUCAAAUUAUCAUCCAAACCCUGUUGUUGUACACCCAGGUACACAACACAUUACUCAUUUAUGUAUGGUUUAUUUAGUAUUUUUUUCC